CGCGGUCAGCCCGGGCGCAGCGCGACCCGCCGCGUCGGGCGGCCGCCUCCAGCCCGGGGACAGGCGUGGACGUGGAGCGGAUCCCCCGGCACGCCGCGUGGGGAAGACAGGAGGCCGUUCCCGGCCGGCAGGUGGUGCUCACCAGGAAGGGGAAAUCUGUGGUUUGAAUUCUUCGUGCCUCAUCCUCUGAAAGCCGGAGGCCUGCUGGAGGCUGUAUGCUGUUAAUGCUAAUCGUGAUAGGGGUUUUACCUCCGACUGACUCCUACAUGUUAGCAUUAACAGGGUACGGUGCCUGAUACUAGCAUUCACACAGAACAGAUGUGCUGUGGGAGGAGGACGAAGAAGCAUGAGUCACCCUGCUGGAGAGACUGGGCUUCGGGCUUCAUUGUAAUUUGUUAACCUUCAUCUGGUCCCUGGGCUGUUCCACCUUAAACUACGUUUUAGGAGUCAGGUCAUUGAAAAGAUUUAUCAGCAAUAUGUAUUCCGAAUGGGAACAUUGCUACUUGAAUCGUCAAGCACACAUCUUUGUUUUUCCCUUUAAAGGAAAACGCAUUCAUGUCAUUUUUAAUUCUAAGUUAUGGUUUGUUCAUUAUAACUGCUCAUGAGCACUUUCAGUGCUUCAGCUGGAAGACAUGGGAACUAAAGACAUUCUGAAACAGGUUUCUAGGAUGUUUUGGUUGUGAGAAAUUAGAAGGACCGCUAUCCUCCAGUUAUAUCCUGGGUUGUCCAGCAACAUUUUUAAAAAGAUGUAGAAAAAUAGUAUUUCCCCCAUGUAGUGACUUUCUAUUUAGAAAACUUCAGUUUAAAAUUAAUACUUUUAUACAAAUUGCAAGCUAUAAAAGUAGUCACAGGGAUAUAAAAUACAGGAUAGGGGACAUAGUUAAUAAUGUUAUAAUAGCUAUGUAAAGUGCUCCGUGGGUACUAGACUUUUUAUGGCGAUCACUUCAUAAGGUAGAUAAACGUCUAAUCACCAUGUUGUAUACUUGAAACUAAUAGUGUAUGUCAACUCUAAUUGAAAAAUAAAUUUUUAAAAAUACUUUUAUUUGAACCUUAAGAGAAAUAGAAAGGCUAUUAUUACACGGAAUUUGUAUUUAAAAAAUGAAAUAUUUUGAUCAAUCAGCAUGGCAAAUGAUGUCUGAGAGCUAACUCCUGGUCUUUUUCCUACAAAAUACAAAGACUUGAUUGAAAAAUUUUGUAUCUGAAAUUAAGUCCCAAACAUCGGUUCAGUGGCUUAGCCACAUCAUAAAGCCCUGGGGUCAGAGAAUCCACUUUUCUCUAAGCCUGUUUCUUCACCCAUGGAACAGGGCUAAUCCUUUACAAGGCGGUGUGAGGCCCAUAAGAUAGAAAACUGUUUUGUAAAACAUAAAGGGCUACAUUAAUGUUAUAAUAAACGUAAUCCAACAACUAGUCCUCCCACUUUGUUAGAGACAAGCUAUUGAUUUGAUUGACAGAAUUCUUAAGGUUUGGAUCGCUAUAUAAUUUUUCUCCAUAAUUAACUCUAUCACUUACAUAUAAAUAGCCAAUUGUAAUUGUUAGCAUAUUUAAUGUAUACUUGUAUUAGCAACUCUUCUCAACAUUCUGUCAAACAGUUACGUACUAUAACCAAAUAAAGCUCUUGAGUCUUUAGUGAUUAAAAUUAAUUUUAUGGUCUUUUGCAAGGUACAAUCUGUAAUUUCAGAAGUUAUUCACACACAAGGAGACAGUGGGGGAAAAAUUAUGAGAAUCCUGAGGGGAACAUUCCUGACUCCUAGGACAUAGUCUUCUCACCGAGGGCACCCCCUUGGCCUAGCCCCAUUUCUGUUCACGUUGUGUGAGCUGCCAAGAUAAAUUCUCCUCUUAACCCUUGGAAUGAACAUUUGGCUCCAUGGAGCUCCCAUGUAGGCGUGUCACAUUCAAGGGUGUUUCUUUGGACUAUUCUUUUUUUUAAAAAAAAAAAAAAAUACUUUUACUGAUUUUUAGAGAGGGAGAAAGGGAGAGGGAGAGUGAGUCCUGUACAUCCCCCACUGGGGAUCAAGUCCACAACACAGGCAUGUGCCCUGACUGGGAAUCGAACCAGCAACCUUUCAGUGCACAGGACAAUGUCCAACCAACUGAGCCACACUGCCCAGGGCUAUUCAUUUCAUCUGCAUGUUUAUCAACAAGAGUAGUCCUUAUUUUGAGCCCCAGUUCUUCAAAACUUUGCUGCAUAAAGCCACAAAGUCCCAGAAUGUUAGGCCUGGAAUAAGACUGAUCCAGUAUGGCCUUUCUGCUGUUAUAAUGAAACGCUAUGACCAUCUAAAAGCAAUGACUAAGAGAAACUACUGUAGAAUGCCUUAUGUGAGAAGCACUAGAAUACACCACAUGAAAUGUAAGCGAGUUAAUCUCUCUAAGCCUCAGUUUCCUCAUCAGUAAAAUGAUGAAUGUAUUUCAGAAGGAUGGUAGGCUUAAUUGAAACAGUGCAUGUGCAGAGCACAAUAUCUGUAGUAACUGUAUGGUACUAGGCGGGGACUAGAACUACCGGGGAUCACUAUGUAAAU
This is a long non-coding RNA of Myotis daubentonii (Daubenton's bat), 2516 nucleotides long. RefSeq lists it as uncharacterized. Lineage: Eukaryota; Metazoa; Chordata; Mammalia; Chiroptera; Vespertilionidae. The record is from RefSeq and is a predicted model, not a curated record.